UAGGGAAUCUUCGGCAAUGGGGGGAACCCUGACCGAGCAACGCCGCGUGAGUGAAGAAGGUUUUCGGAUCGUAAAGCUCUGUUGUUAAGGAAGAACGAGUGUGAGAAUGGAAAGUUCAUGCUGUGACGGCACUUAACCAGAAAGGGACGGCUAACUACGUGCCAGCAGCCGCGGUAAUACGUAGGUCCCGAGCGUUGUCCGGAUUUAUUGGGCGUAAAGCGAGCGCAGGCGGUUAGAAAAGUCUGAAGUGAAAGGCAGUGGCUCAACCAUUGUAGGCUUUGGAAACUGUUUAACUUGGGUGCAGAAGGGGGGAGUGGAAUUCCAGGUGUGGCGGUGAAAUGCGUAGAUAUAUGGAGGAACACCGGUGGCGAAAGCGGCUCUCUGGUCUGUAACUGACGCUGAGGCUCGAAAGCGUGGGGGGCGAACAGG
This 429-nucleotide ribosomal RNA is filed under the name Bacteroidota bacterium. RNAcentral's name for it is "Bacteroidetes bacterium partial 16S ribosomal RNA". It matches the Rfam family "Bacterial small subunit ribosomal RNA", at positions 355 to 776 of the family's 1533-position model. Lineage: Bacteria; Pseudomonadati; Bacteroidota. The record is from RNAcentral.